This 383-nucleotide ribosomal RNA is filed under the name uncultured fungus. RNAcentral's name for it is "eukaryotic LSU rRNA". The stretch from base 1 to 113 matches the Rfam family "5.8S ribosomal RNA", at positions 42 to 154 of the family's 154-position model. The record is from RNAcentral. Lineage: Eukaryota; Fungi.
AACGCAGCGAAGGGCGAUAAGUAGUGUGAAUUGCAGAAUUCAGUGAAUCAUCGAAUCUUUGAACGCACAUUGCGCUUCCUGGUAUUCCGGGGAGCACGCUCGUUUCAGAAUCAUUAAACUCUCAAAAACCAUACGGUUUUCGGACCGUGUGGGGCUUGGAUGUGUGCGGGAACUGCCCUUCGGGGGCAGCCGCUUUAAUUUGAUUGUGUGUGUCACGGUAAACCAUGCCGGGAACACAAGAGCAACAGAUUUCUAUUUCUCUUGUGACUCGGACGUGUGAUAUCGGGUCAUCCACCCCAUCAAUUAUACAGGAUGCGCCUCUACUUUGAUGCGUGUUCUGAUUACUUGGUCUGAAAUCGAGCAAGAAAACCCGCUGAACUUAA